This 253-nucleotide ribosomal RNA is filed under the name uncultured bacterium. Its description in RNAcentral is "partial 16S ribosomal RNA". It matches the Rfam family "Bacterial small subunit ribosomal RNA", at positions 524 to 776 of the family's 1533-position model. The record is from RNAcentral.
UACGAAGGGUGCAAGCGUUACUCGGAAUUACUGGGCGUAAAGCGUGCGUAGGUGGUUUGUUAAGUCUGUUGUGAAAUCCCCGGGCUCAACCCGGGAACUGCGUCUGAUACUGGAUGGCUUGAGGUUGGGAGAGGGAUGCGGAAUUCCAGGUGUAGCGGUGAAAUGCGUAGAUAUCUGGAGGAACACCGGUGGCGAAGGCGGCAUCCUGGACCAAUUCUGACACUGAGGAGCGAAAGCCAGGGGAGCAAACGGG